RNAcentral lists this ribosomal RNA (104 nucleotides) under Cephalotus follicularis. Lineage: Eukaryota; Viridiplantae; Streptophyta; Magnoliopsida; Oxalidales; Cephalotaceae. The record is from RNAcentral.
GGGUGCAAUCAUACCAGCACUAAUGCACCGGAUCCCAUAAGAGCUCCACAGUUAAACGUGCUUGGGCGAGAAUGGUGUUAAGACGAGCUUUGUCACAGGACUUC